AGCAGUAGCCACGGGAAUACGAAGGGUGCAAGCGUUACUCGGAAUUACUGGGCGUAAAGCGUGCGUAGGUGGUGGUUUAAGUCCGUUGUGAAAGCCCUGGGCUCAACCUGGGAAUUGCAGUGGAUACUGGGUCACUAGAGUGUUGUAGAGGAUAGUGGAAUUUCCGGUGUAGCAGUGAAAUGCGUAGAGAUCGGAAGGAACAUCUGUGGCGAAGGCGACUAUCUGGGCCAACACUGACACUGAGGCACGAAAGCGUGGGGAGCAAACAGGAUUAGAUACCCCUGUAGUCCCUGUCUCUUAUAC
This 303-nucleotide ribosomal RNA is filed under the name uncultured bacterium. Its description in RNAcentral is "partial 16S ribosomal RNA". It matches the Rfam family "Bacterial small subunit ribosomal RNA", at positions 507 to 807 of the family's 1533-position model. The record is from RNAcentral.